RNAcentral lists this ribosomal RNA (436 nucleotides) under uncultured bacterium. RNAcentral's name for it is "partial 16S ribosomal RNA". It matches the Rfam family "Bacterial small subunit ribosomal RNA", at positions 355 to 783 of the family's 1533-position model. The record is from RNAcentral.
UGGGGAAUUUUGGACAAUGGGCGAAAGCCUGAUCCAGCAAUGCCGCGUGUGUGAAGAAGGCCUUCGGGUUGUAAAGCACUUUUGUCCGGAAAGAAAUGGCUCUGGUUAAUACCUGAGGUCGAUGACGGUACCGGAAGAAUAAGGACCGGCUAACUACGUGCCAGCAGCCGCGGUAAUACGUAGGGUCCAAGCGUUAAUCGGAAUUACUGGGCGUAAAGCGUGCGCAGGCGGUUGUGCAAGACCGAUGUGAAAUCCCCGAGCUUAACUUGGGAAUUGCAUUGGUGACUGCACGGCUAGAGUGUGUCAGAGGGGGGUAGAAUUCCACGUGUAGCAGUGAAAUGCGUAGAGAUGUGGAGGAAUACCGAUGGCGAAGGCAGCCCCCUGGGAUAACACUGACGCUCAUGCACGAAAGCGUGGGGAGCAAACAGGAUUAGAU